UGUCCCGAGCCCCCCGCUGACGCCAGUGCCUGGCAGGGCCCCCCCUGCCACGAGGACUGGGAGGCAGACGCCACCGAGGCCUCGUCCCCCUUCGUGCUGGAUGUGGACGUCGGGGACCGCCUGCCCCCCGGGCCCAGCUCGGCAGGUGGCACCAGGACAGGGGCGCCGCAGUAGG
This is a long non-coding RNA of Nothoprocta perdicaria, 175 nucleotides long. RefSeq lists it as uncharacterized. Lineage: Eukaryota; Metazoa; Chordata; Aves; Tinamiformes; Tinamidae. The transcript is spliced from 3 exons. The record is from RefSeq and is a predicted model, not a curated record.